Molecule: ribosomal RNA, 244 nt
Filed under: uncultured eukaryote
Lineage: Eukaryota
Description: partial 18S ribosomal RNA
Rfam family: Eukaryotic small subunit ribosomal RNA (bases 115-244)
Source: RNAcentral
CGUAGUUGGAUUCCUGGCGUGGUGCGCCCGGCCCGAUACCGCUAAGGUGUCGAGUGCCGGCGCGCGCCUGCCAUCCUUCCGGAGAGCGUGCCUACCCUUCACUGGGCCGGGUACGCGAUCUGGAUCGUUUACUUUGAAAAAAUUAGAGUGUUUAAAGCAGGCUUACGCUUCUGAAUACAUUAGCAUGGAAUAAUAAGAUAGGACUUUGGUUCUAUUUUGUUGGUUUCUAGAACUAAAGUAAUGA